RNAcentral lists this ribosomal RNA (116 nucleotides) under Pteropus alecto (black flying fox). Lineage: Eukaryota; Metazoa; Chordata; Mammalia; Chiroptera; Pteropodidae. The record is from RNAcentral.
GUCUACACUCAUGCCACCCUGAGCAAGUCCGAUGUCUGAUCUCGGAAGCUAAGCAGGGUCUGGCCUGGUUAGUACUUGGAUGGGAGACCACCUAUGAAGACCAGGUGCUGUAGCAU